CUAAACCAAGUCGGUUAUCUUAAUAUGUAUUUCUCAUUUUAUUUGUUGAAGAGAGCAAAAUAGAGAGUAUAAAGAGGGACAAAAGUUGCUACAGAGAGAACAACCAAGCUGAGCUAACAUCUAAAAAAGAAUACUAUAGAAAUGCUUUAAGUGUAGCCAAAGAAGCUGAAGCAUUAGCAGAAUCACGGGCAAAUGAUGAAGCCAUAGUUGAACUAGAAAACCGCAUAAAGGAAUAUGAAGAACGUGAAGCUAUGUUAGUUUAUUGUGCAAGUAUAUGGAUUUGGCUUGUGUUGUUUUUGGAUUAAAAAUGUGUAGUAAAGUUGGCCUCUUUUGGUUAACAAAAAUGGUCCGAACAUUCUUA
Molecule: long non-coding RNA, 361 nt
Filed under: Helianthus annuus (common sunflower)
Lineage: Eukaryota; Viridiplantae; Streptophyta; Magnoliopsida; Asterales; Asteraceae
Description: sRNA HanXRQr2_Chr11g0487381
Source: RNAcentral